This is a long non-coding RNA of Mus musculus (house mouse), 529 nucleotides long. RefSeq annotates it as predicted gene, 40934. The record is from RefSeq and is a predicted model, not a curated record. The transcript is spliced from 2 exons. Lineage: Eukaryota; Metazoa; Chordata; Mammalia; Rodentia; Muridae.
GUGACAGGUACUGUUCAAGUGGUUCGAUGUGCUUGUCACUGGAAUGUCACAGGGCACAGACAGCCUAGGCUCUCCAGGCGGGCAUGCCACUUCUCCAACGCUGCAGGGAACUGCUGAGGUUAAACAUGGCCUUUCAACAGAGAACUUUACUUAAAGUAAUGCUGACAGAAACAACAAUCUGUGCCCUGUGUUUAUAAUUCCAUGUUGGACAAGGUUCCUAGUUCCGAUACAUGGGGAAAGCCUGCAGAGCAAUAGAUGAAAGUACCAGGUGACGCAAUGGAGGAAAACUUGACUUUCCCCGGGCUCCCAGAAAGGUCACCUUUAAGCUGUGAGCCACUGUCCAUCAUGGGACUUCUGGGACACUGAAGGGGAAGCUGCCAUGUUCUCCUGCCUCUGGUGGAAGGUUUCGAUAUCUUGUGAGGAAUCUCGGGCCCACUUCCCAGCAGACACCAGGACUACUGCGGCUCCAGCUGAUGCAGAAAUCCAAAAUCUGGCUCUUCAGUUUCUAUUAAUUAAAUCCUAAUGGUGA